CGGGGCGCAGCGGUACCUGGGCCGCCCGGGAGCCGGGGGUGGGCUCUCGGGGGACAGCCGGCAGCCCCCCCAGAUCUGCACCACCAGCCGCCGGGAGCUCGGGGCUCCGGGCGUAGAGGCUGCGCUGUCACAUGGGCGGCGGCGACGGGGCCGCAUUUAAGCGGCCGGGGGACGGCGCCCGCCUCCAGCGCGUCCUCGGGCUUGGCUCCCGCCGGGUGCCCAGCUCUCUGCCCGCCGGGGGCCCCGCGCCGCGCCGCACCGUGCCGCCCCCGCCGGGCCAUGCGAGCGCGGGCCCCGCCGCGAUGAGCUCGCACAUCGCCAAAAGCGAGUCCAAGACGUCGCUGCUGAAGGCGGCGGCGGCGGCGGCGGGCGGGGGCAGCCGGGCUCCCCGCCACGGCCCUGCCCGGGAGCCGGGGCUGCCCAGCCGCCGGCUGCUCGGCACCUGCCCGAGCACGCCGCCGUCGUCCGGGGACCCCAGUUCGCGGAGGCCCCUGUGCCGGCCGGCGCCGCGGGAGGAGGGCGCGCGGGGGAGCCGCCGCGGGCUCCCCCAGGCGCACUGCAGGCCCCGGGAGGCGCUGCCGGCCGCGGUGUCCCGACCUUCGCCGCCGUCGCCGCUGCCGCCCGCCCGCGGGCGGGAUGGGGAGGAACGGGGUCUGUCCCCGGCGCUCGGCCUCCGGGGCUCUCUGCGAGCCCGGGGUCGUGGGGACUCCGCUCCAGCCGCCGCGUCCGAGGCGGACCCGUUCCUCCACCGGCUGCGCCCCAUGCUCAGCUCCGCCUUCGGCCAGGUAAGGGCCGCGCCUCCCGCUCGCGCUCCCGGGAAAGGCGCUCGGGACCCUGCCGAGCGGGCUGUGCGUCCACAGCCAGCCCUCCUGCUGCUGCCGGCGGCCCCCUGCGGGUCACGCCGCGGCUCACCUCGUCCUCCCCCAGCCCGGCGCCCUUGCCGGCACCACUCCUCCCCCGUGCCUGAUUCAGCACCCCGUGCGCUGUCCACGCUCCGGGCCUCUUCGGGACGAGGCCCCACGCCUAGCCACCCUCGCACCUGCUGGAACCGGCCAGUCCUGGAAGGGAGCGACCUCCACAAGCCUCCCGGAGACUUGCGGGGGUCGAAAAGGGAUGCUCGAAGCAGGUGGCGCCAAACCCACUCCUCUGGCCUCUGGCCAGGACCGCCAGGGAGCAGCCCAACAGAACAAGGGGUUUGGAGUCUGGAGAUCAAGAGAGGGGACUCAGAGCACACAGACUUGCAGGGGGAUGAGGGGCCCUAG
RNA transcript from Propithecus coquereli (Coquerel's sifaka), 1262 nucleotides. It is a transcript of the gene named calcium-binding protein 1 pseudogene, with no coding region annotated. Lineage: Eukaryota; Metazoa; Chordata; Mammalia; Primates; Indriidae. The transcript has a single exon. The record is from RefSeq and is a predicted model, not a curated record.